This 543-nucleotide long non-coding RNA is filed under the name Anser brachyrhynchus (Pink-footed goose). RNAcentral describes it as "lncRNA (ENSABRG00000018061.1)". The record is from RNAcentral. Lineage: Eukaryota; Metazoa; Chordata; Aves; Anseriformes; Anatidae.
CCUAAUCAACUAAACUGCAUGUUAAAAGCCUGGGGUCAGGUUAUUAAGGAAAGAUUUUGUAGAACAAAUUCCACAUAGUCACUGUAAAUUACAUCUGCAUGAAAAUCAGUGUCAGCUGUUGUAUAAUAUCAGAUCUUUAAAGUAUGCCUGCAGUCCUUUAGAGAUGCAUUUGGGCAAGAGCCACUCCUGUUGCUGAAAUCAAUGAAUCAUAGAGUUGGUUGGAAGGAGCACUUCGAGGAGCACUACCUCAAAUCUAGCACCAGCAACACAUGAAGUUAGCUUUGUGUAAUUAAACCUUGAAAAUCAAUAGAGAUUCUCUAACCUCUUCUAAUAUCCUCUUCUGAUACUGCACAUUUUAUUAUAGGAAUGAAAUUUUUUAUCCUAAUCCUUGACUUGGACCUCCUAUGCCUCUUAAAUCCCUCUUGCAGACAGGGCUCAGAAGCAAAACCUGAAGCAGAAACCAAGUCUUGUGAUUUUCAGGGUACUGGGACUAAGCUGGUAUUGCGUGGCAGGUCAUGCAGGCCCAUAACAAUCACUUACUAG